Long non-coding RNA from Limulus polyphemus (Atlantic horseshoe crab), 1408 nucleotides. RefSeq lists it as uncharacterized. NCBI's taxonomy places the organism in Eukaryota, Metazoa, Arthropoda, Merostomata, Xiphosura, Limulidae. The record is from RefSeq and is a predicted model, not a curated record. The transcript is spliced from 2 exons.
AACGAAACUGUAAGACCACAACUACGCGCUUCACCUAAACAAGCCUGGAAUGUGAAACCGACCAUUAUUCUGACUGGAGCUCCCAAUGAAAAUGACAUACCUCUCUCAUCUACUGGAUACCCCAGUGAAAUGUCUGUCAUACAGGAUAGCUCAGUGAGAGACUCGCCUGCAUAUUCUACAAAUUCUGUACCCAUAUAUCCUGUAGAAGUAGCAUCCAGGCUUUUGAAGGAUAAACCCGUAACAAUGACGGAACGUGAGACUAGUAUCUGACAAGUAGUUUUCUUUAUUAGAGUGAUCGAACUUGAAGGAAGAAAGUCCCCCCCCCCCAAAGGAAAGCUACUUGAAUUGCCAAAACUUGUGUCACAAUUGUUCAAACAAGAGAGGCACUAUCUUAUGCACUUUUCUUUGAAACAUCAUCAUACAGAGGAUUUUAGCUAUUACAUUAAGCAGAAGGUAAUGUUUGUUAAUCUGGUAGAAGAAUUGUGCUCCCUCUCACAAAAAAGGGUAAAAUAUUCAGUAAAACAAUGUUAAGUUCAAGCUAGAAAUAAAUUAUCAACUUUAUAUCUAAUAGAAGACAGAAUUAAAGGUAAAUAUAACAGAUAAUGUUUGACUGUUUCUUUGAGCAUUAGAGCUUUAAUCCUGUUGUGUGUAUAAACACAUCAUUAUUAUCUUAUGGACUACUUCUGUCUAAUUUGAAGACAACAUUUUGGACUCUUUCUUCAUUGGGGAGAAGCAGUCUUAAAGUGAAGCUAUUCAACAUAUCCAAAUAACCCUGAAAUUUAUAAGGUUAAUUAUCAUGAAACGAUCCUCAGGAGUAAAAUAGUGAAUUUAAUUUUGUCUGUUGUUCAAAAACUAUAAUUAAUGAAACCUUUUUUUGUUGUCUUUGUUGAUGAUUUAGUCAGAUUUUGUUUAUUGUAGGUGCUUAAAAUGUCCCUUGUGCUGUACAUUCCUUUUAUAAUGUUCUACUGUCUGAUUUAAUAUUGUUUGUUGUAAAGUUUAUUAUUUAUAUGCAAUCUAAGCUAAGCAUGAACUACUUCCAUACUCAAGCACUUGUUGUUCAGUGAUUCACUGUACUUGCAUUUUUAUAGUUUUAUAAGUGGUUUGAUACCUAAAUUUACUAGGAAAAUAUUGUAUAAGCUUUUUAGUGUUCAGAAAGCUCAAUUUAAUGUUUUUUUGUUAACCAUCUUGCAAAUUAUUGAUAAUGAUUUGUUUUUAGUACAUUAAGUUUUGUUUGUGUUAAAUAUAUUGAGCCUCAAGUUUUUUAUAGUAAAGAGGCUUUAAAUUACCAAGAAUACUGAGUAUACUCUUAAACUAAACCGAUUUUUGUAUAAUGAAUAUAUUUAUCCCAGAAAUAUGUAAACAAGAACUAUAUGAACAUUAAAAAUCCAUUUUACUUCCAUACAACUCA